CUGGAGUACUCGAGUGGCGAACGGGUGAGUAACACGUGGGUAAUCUGCCCUGCACUCUGGGAUAAGCCUGGGAAACUGGGUCUAAUACUGGAUACGACCUUUCUCCUUAUGGGGUUUGGUGGAAAGUUUUUCGGUGUAGGGUGAGCCCGCGGCCUAUCAGCUUGUUGGUGGGGUGAUGGCCUACCAAGGCGACGACGGGUAGCCGGCCUGAGAGGGUGAUCGGCCACAUUGGGACUGAGAUACGGCCCAG
This 250-nucleotide ribosomal RNA is filed under the name uncultured Actinomycetales bacterium. RNAcentral describes it as "partial 16S ribosomal RNA". It matches the Rfam family "Bacterial small subunit ribosomal RNA", at positions 82 to 334 of the family's 1533-position model. Lineage: Bacteria; Bacillati; Actinomycetota; Actinomycetes; Actinomycetales. The record is from RNAcentral.